AAUGGGCGCAAGCCUGAUCUAGCCAUGCCGCGUGAGUGAUGAAGGCCUUAGGGUCGUAAAGCUCUUUCGCCAGGGAUGAUAAAGACAGUACCUGGUAAAGAAACCCCGGCUAACUCCGUGCCUGCAGCCGCGGUAAUACGGAGGGGGUUAGCGUUGUUCGGAAUUACUGGGCGUAAAGCGCGCGUAGGCGGAUUAUUAAGUCAGGGGUGAAAUCCCGGGGCUCAACCCCGGAACUGCCCUUGAUACUGGUAGUCUUGAGUUCGAGAGAGGUGAGUGGAAUUCCGAGUGUAGAGGUGAAAUUCGUAGAUAUUCGGAGGAACACCAGUGGCGAAGGCGGCUCACUGGCUCGAUACUGACGCUGAGGUGCGAAAGUGUGGGGAGCAAACAGGAUU
Molecule: ribosomal RNA, 392 nt
Filed under: uncultured Gammaproteobacteria bacterium
Lineage: Bacteria; Pseudomonadati; Pseudomonadota; Gammaproteobacteria
Description: bacterial SSU rRNA
Rfam family: Bacterial small subunit ribosomal RNA
Source: RNAcentral